GAGUUUGAUCAUGGCUCAGAUUGAACGCUGGCGGCAUGCCUUACACAUGCAAGUCGAACGGCAGCACGGGAGCUUGCUCCUGGGUGGCGAGUGGCGAACGGGUGAGUAAUGCAUCGGAACGUAUCCUGGAGUGGGGGAUAACGUAGCGAAAGUUACGCUAAUACCGCAUAUUCUGUGAGCAGGAAAGCGGGGGACCUUCGGGCCUCGCGCUACUUGGAGCGGCCGAUGUCGGAUUAGCUAGUUGGUGAGGUAAAGGCUCACCAAGGCGACGAUCCGUAGCAGGUCUGAGAGGAUGAUCUGCCACACUGGAACUGAGACACGGUCCAGACUCCUACGGAGGCAGCAGUGGGAAUUUUGGACAAUGGGGCAACCCUGAUCCAGCCAUGCCGCGUGAGUGAAGAAGGCCUGGUGUAAG
RNAcentral lists this ribosomal RNA (415 nucleotides) under bacterium enrichment culture clone ALO1_GLFRUDD03GR94T. RNAcentral's name for it is "bacterial SSU rRNA". It matches the Rfam family "Bacterial small subunit ribosomal RNA", at positions 9 to 429 of the family's 1533-position model. The record is from RNAcentral.